This 407-nucleotide ribosomal RNA is filed under the name uncultured microorganism. RNAcentral describes it as "bacterial SSU rRNA". It matches the Rfam family "Bacterial small subunit ribosomal RNA", at positions 509 to 917 of the family's 1533-position model. The record is from RNAcentral.
CAGCCGCCGCGGUAAUACGUAGGGGGCGAGCGUUACCCGGAUUCACUGGGCGUAAAGCGGGUGUAGGCGGCUCGGUAAGUCGGGUGUGAAAUCCCACAGCUCAACUGUGGAAUUGCGCCCGAAACUGCUGAGCUUGGGGCCGGUAGAGGGAGACGGAACUGCCGGUGUAGGGGUGAAAUCCGUAGAUAUCGGCAGGAACGCCGGUGGGGAAGCCGGUCUCCUGGGCCGCGCCCGACGCUGAGACCCGAAAGCUAGGGGAGCAAACCGGAUUAGAUACCCGGGUAGUCCUAGCCGUAAACGAUGCCCACUAGGUGUGGGGGAUUAAUUCCUCCGUGCUGUAGCUAACGCGUUAAGUGGGCCGCCUGGGGAGUACGGCCGCAAGGUUGAAACUUAAAGGAAUUGGCGGG